GAUGAAGAACGUAGCGAAAUGCGAUAAGUAAUGUGAAUUGCAGAAUUCAGUGAAUCAUCGAAUCUUUGAACGCACAUUGCGCCCCCUGGCAUUCCGGGGGGCAUGCCUGUUCGAGCGUCAUUACAACCCUCAAGCUCUGCUUGGUAUUGGGCUCUGCUGGGACCGGCAGGCCUUAAAAUCAGUGGCGGCGCCACUCGGCUUCAAGCGUAGUAAUUCUUCUCGCUUCGGAGACCCGGGUGCGUGCUAGCCAGCAACCCCCAACUUUCUUAGGUUGACCUCGGAUCAGGUAGGAAUACCCGCUGAACUUAAGCAUAUCAAUAAGCGGAGGA
This 329-nucleotide unclassified non-coding RNA is filed under the name soil metagenome. Its description in RNAcentral is "partial contains 5.8S ribosomal RNA, internal transcribed spacer 2, and large subunit ribosomal RNA". The stretch from base 1 to 120 matches the Rfam family "5.8S ribosomal RNA", at positions 35 to 154 of the family's 154-position model. The record is from RNAcentral.